RNAcentral lists this ribosomal RNA (629 nucleotides) under uncultured Bacilli bacterium. RNAcentral's name for it is "bacterial SSU rRNA". It matches the Rfam family "Bacterial small subunit ribosomal RNA", at positions 46 to 658 of the family's 1533-position model. The record is from RNAcentral. Lineage: Bacteria; Bacillati; Bacillota; Bacilli.
GCCUAAUACAUGCAAGUAGAACGCUGAAGCUUGGUGCUUGCACCGAGCGGAUGAGUUGCGAACGGGUGAGUAACGCGUAGGUAACCUGCCUCUUAGCGGGGGAUAACUAUUGGAAACGAUAGCUAAUACCGCAUAAAAGUCGACAUCGCAUGAUGUUGACUUGAAAGGUGCAAUUGCAUCACUAAGAGAUGGACCUGCGUUGUAUUAGCUAGUUGGUGAGGUAACGGCUCACCAAGGCGACGAUACAUAGCCGACCUGAGAGGGUGAUCGGCCACACUGGGACUGAGACACGGCCCAGACUCCUACGGGAGGCAGCAGUAGGGAAUCUUCGGCAAUGGGGGCAACCCUGACCGAGCAACGCCGCGUGAGUGAAGAAGGUUUUCGGAUCGUAAAGCUCUGUUGUAAGAGAAGAACGAGUGUGAGAGUGGAAAGUUCACACUGUGACGGUAACUUACCAGAAAGGGACGGCUAACUACGUGCCAGCAGCCGCGGUAAUACGUAGGUCCCGAGCGUUAUCCGGAUUUAUUGGGCGUAAAGCGAGCGCAGGCGGUUAGAUAAGUCUGAAGUUAAAGGCUGUGGCUUAACCAUAGUACGCUUUGGAAACUGUUUAACUUGAGUGCAGAAGGGGA